GCACCCUUAGCUCAGCUGGUAGAGCGCUUCGUUUACACCGAAGAUGUCGUAGGUUCGAGUCCUACAGGGUGCA
Molecule: transfer RNA, 73 nt
Filed under: bacterium
Lineage: Bacteria
Description: tRNA-Val
Rfam family: tRNA
About the family: Transfer RNA (tRNA) molecules are approximately 80 nucleotides in length. Their secondary structure includes four short double-helical elements and three loops (D, anti-codon, and T loops).
Source: RNAcentral